Molecule: long non-coding RNA, 1761 nt
Filed under: Priapulus caudatus
Lineage: Eukaryota; Metazoa; Priapulida; Priapulimorpha; Priapulimorphida; Priapulidae
Description: uncharacterized LOC106818333, transcript variant X1
Source: RNAcentral
CAGGGGGCGCUUGAGAGCGACGGGGUGUUGGUGCCUCAGCCGGCGAUCCUGCAGCUGUCGUCUGCCAACAUCGAUCGUCACGGUGUGUAUGUGAUGGACGUGGGGGAGUGUCUGUACGUGUAUGUGGGACGCGCUGCCAGCGAUCAGCUCAUACAGGACGUGUUCGCACGCGAGUCCGUCGCAGCAAUGCCUGAGAUCAUGGUGGAGCUACCGGAGCUAGCAAAUCCAACAUCGGAACGACUGCGAAAUUUCAUAACGUAUCAGCAGUCGAUCCGACCGCACUGUGCCGCGCUCAUUGUUCUCAGGGAGGAUAGCAAGCUGAGAGGGUUGUGUGUGCAGCACCUGUACGAUGAUCGAUCAGACUCAACAAUGUCUUACUAUGAGUUCCUACAGCACAUACAGCAGCAGACGCAGCCAAAGUGAGGAAAGGAUGCCGGCACGCGGCGGCGGCAGCGGCGGCGGCGGCGAUGGCGGCUCGGUGGUCACUGCCGGUCUGGAUCAGCUGUCACACAUGUACGUGCGCUGAUGAUUCCUCGCCCGUCUGCCUGACGCUUCACCUGCCUGAGCGAUCAACCGUACGACCGUACACACAUACACACAUACACAUGCUGUCUGACGUGGCGAAGCACAGGGAGCGAUCGACCGUACGACCGUACACACAUACACACCCGCUGUUUGACGUGGCGAAGCACCGGGAGCGAUCAACCGUACGACCGUACACACACGCUGUCUGACGUGGCGAAGCACAGGGAGCGAUCGACCGUACGACCGUACACACAUGCUGUCUGACGUGGCGAAGCACCGGGAGCGAUCGACCGUACGACCGUACACACAUGCUGUCUGACGUGGCGAAGCUCUGAUCGGGGAUGCGUGAGGAUGAGGAUGACGAUGAGCGAAGUUUGCCGUCUCUUCUAGCAGCGAGGCGGAGGGACGACUGCGCGCGCGUCGCCGGACCUUGCGCGCGUCGCCAUCUUACGCUGCGUCGGACGUGUGAGCGGGAAACACGGUCGCACGUUAGUCUGCAUUCACGAGACGUUGGACCAGCGAUGACGAUGAUCUCCAUGAAGUCGUGUUUUGUGUGGAUUUUCGGUCUUCCGGCGUGGGUGGGGUCUUCGAUCCCCCGGCGUGGGUGGGGUCUUCGAUCCCCCGGCGUGGGUGGGGUCUUCGAUCCCCCGGCGUGGGUGGGGUCUUCGAUCCCCCGGCGCGUCUGCGAUCCUCAUGCGACAACGUCUGCGUCGUUGCCGUUCGACUGUCGUAUAUAUUGCCGUGCCGCGGAUUGGAUGCGGCAGAUCACGGAUUAAGAGUGUGCCACGGUCUCACACACCAGGUCGUUAGUCUGUCUCACACGCCGCACUUUCCGCACGAAGUGAAUCCGCCUUCCGUCAUGUUCAUGGCGCCACCUGCAACGCGGAUUACAGAACAUUUUUUUUGUUGACGGUGGAGAACUGGCAUCACGGUCGGUCACACGAUGGCGCCAGCAUCUCAUCUCGUGUGGUGUAGCCGCGGCGACGCAUCAUGUGGUGUAACCGCGGCAACGCGUCGCGUGGUGUAGCUGCGUGUGUGAGUGAUUUUGUGGAGCCGCGCGGCGGCGGUUUCCGGUGGAUUGCGGUUUUUCGUGGUUGCUCUUGCGCGGAAAUUCGUGACGCGCGUUUCCCGUUGCCGUGUCAAUCAUUGCACUGCUCAGUGUAACGUGUGUGCGUGCGAGCGUGCGUGCGUGCGAGCGUGCGAGCGUGCGUGUGUGCGAGCGAGCGUGCGUGCGAG